The submitters of this non-coding RNA (80 nucleotides) gave its source as unclassified sequences. The record is from Rfam.
UAUAGGUUAUACAACUGACGGAAGUGGAAUAAACCACAUGAAGUAUAACAAGUAAUAAGCCGACCGUCUGGGCAAAAGUC